Molecule: long non-coding RNA, 565 nt
Organism: Phascolarctos cinereus (koala)
Lineage: Eukaryota; Metazoa; Chordata; Mammalia; Diprotodontia; Phascolarctidae
Source: RefSeq, a predicted model, not a curated record
UCAUCAGAAGCAGAGGAAGAAUGCUAGAGGAACUCUGGACCUGGACAUAGCAGAAGGCCCUAGAACUUGCAUGCUUCCUCCAGUCUCUGUUGUCUUAUUGAUAGUUUCAACUUCUGACCAGCUUGAGCCUCUUAACACAUUCGAGAACAAGGUUCUCUUAAAAGUUGGAGAAUAAUCAGUUCCUCGAUGGAGCCAAAGUCCUGGCUGUGGUAGCAUUCCACUGACAAAAUCAGCCAACCCAGACUGGAAAUAAUGGAGAAGAGAACCACCUCAAAGGGUUAUUGUGAAGAUCAGAAGACAGAAUGUAGACACCAGUCUAUCAAUGAACAUCUAUUAUGCUUUUCCUGCAUGUCAGGCACUAUGCUAGGCACUGGAGAUUCAUUGAAAGAACGAAACAAUCCCAACCCGCAUGAAGUUUGCAUUCUAAUGGAAAGAUAGACCUUCUGGAGUGUGAUGGAGCCAACUCUUAUCAGCUUUCAAGAGCCAUCGUUAAAUUUUCAGCGUGAGCAUUUACACCUCAAAAAUCAGCAAAGACUUGGGGAUCAGGACUUGGUUUAUUAUUUUG